UACGUAGGGAGCGAGCGUUGUCCGAAGUUACUGGGCGUAAAGCGCGCGUAGGCGGGCUGUUAAGUGAGAGGUGAAAGGCUGGGGCUUAACCCCAUGCAGUGCCUCUCAUACUGGCGGUCUUGAGUGCGGCAGGGAGAAGUGGAAUGGCUGGUGUAGCGGUGAAAUGCGUAGAUAUCAGGAGGAACACCGGUGGCGAAGGCGCCACUCUGGGCCGGUACUGACGCUGAGGAGCGAAAGCGUGGGUAGCAAACAGG
Molecule: ribosomal RNA, 254 nt
Filed under: uncultured bacterium
Lineage: Bacteria
Description: partial 16S ribosomal RNA
Rfam family: Bacterial small subunit ribosomal RNA
Source: RNAcentral